This 353-nucleotide ribosomal RNA is filed under the name uncultured soil bacterium. RNAcentral's name for it is "bacterial SSU rRNA". It matches the Rfam family "Bacterial small subunit ribosomal RNA", at positions 25 to 406 of the family's 1533-position model. The record is from RNAcentral.
CAGAACGAACGCUGGCGGCAUGCCUAAUACAUGCAAGUCGAACGAACUCUUCGGAGUUAGUGGCGCACGGGUGCGUAACGCGUGGGAAUCUGCCCCUUGGUUCGGAAUAACAGUUGGAAACGACUGCUAAUACCGGAUGAUGACGAAAGUCCAAAGAUUUAUCGCCAAGGGAUGAGCCCGCGUAGGAUUAGCUAGUUGGUGAGGUAAAGGCUCACCAAGGCAACGAUCCUUAGCUGGUCUGAGAGGAUGAUCAGCCACACUGGGACUGAGACACGGCCCAGACUCCUACGGGAGGCAGCAGUAGGGAAUAUUGGACAAUGGGCGAAAGCCUGAUCCAGCAAUGCCGCGUGAGU